UAGGGAAUCUUCGGCAAUGGGGGCAACCCUGACCGAGCAACGCCGCGUGAGUGAAGAAGGUUUUCGGAUCGUAAAGCUCUGUUGUAAGAGAAGAACGUGUGUGAGAGUGGAAAGUUCACACAGUGACGGUAACUUACCAGAAAGGGACGGCUAACUACGUGCCAGCAGCCGCGGUAAUACGUAGGUCCCGAUCGUUGUCCGGAUUUAUUGGGCGUAAAGCGAGCGCAGGCGGUUUAAUAAGUCUGAAGUUAAAGGCAGGGGCUUAACCAUUGUUCGCUUUGGAAACUGUUAAACUUGAGUGCAGAAGGGGAGAGCGGAAUUCCAUGUGUAGCGGUGAAAUGCGUAGAUAUAUGGAGGAACACCGGUGGCGAAAGCGGCUCUCUGGUCUGUAACUGACGCUGAGGCUCGAAAGCGUGGGGAGCAAACAGG
Molecule: ribosomal RNA, 429 nt
Filed under: bacterium
Lineage: Bacteria
Description: partial 16S ribosomal RNA
Rfam family: Bacterial small subunit ribosomal RNA
Source: RNAcentral